GCUUGCACCUGGUGGCGAGUGGCGAACGGGUGAGUAAUACAUCGGAACAUGUCCUGUAGUGGGGGAUAGCCCGGCGAAAGCCGGAUUAAUACCGCAUACGAUCUACGGAUGAAAGCGGGGGACCUUCGGGCCUCGCGCUAUAGGGUUGGCCGAUGGCUGAUUAGCUAGUUGGUGGGGUAAAGGCCUACCAAGGCGACGAUCAGUAGCUGGUCUGAGAGGACGACCAGCCACACUGGGACUGAGACACGGCCCAGACUCCUACGGGAGGCAGCAGUGGGGAAUUUUGGACAAUGGGCGAAAGCCUGAUCCAGCAAUGCCGCGUGUGUGAAGAAGGCCUUCGGGUUGUAAAGCACUUUUGUCCGGAAAGAAAUCCUUGGUUCUAAUAUAGCCGGGGGAUGACGGUACCGGAAGAAUAAGCACCGGCUAACUACGUGCCAGCAGCCGCGGUAAUACGUAGGGUGCGAGCGUUAGUCGGAAUUACUGGGCGUAAAGCGUGCGCAGGCGGUUUGCUAAGACCGAUGUGAAAUCCCCGGGCUCAACCUGGGAACUGCAUUGGUGACUGGCAGGCUAGAGUAUGGCAGAGGGGGGUAGAAUUCCACGUGUAGCAGUGAAAUGCGUAGAGAUGUGGAGGAAUAC
This 636-nucleotide ribosomal RNA is filed under the name uncultured beta proteobacterium. RNAcentral describes it as "bacterial SSU rRNA". It matches the Rfam family "Bacterial small subunit ribosomal RNA", at positions 78 to 709 of the family's 1533-position model. The record is from RNAcentral. Lineage: Bacteria; Pseudomonadati; Pseudomonadota; Betaproteobacteria.